This 305-nucleotide ribosomal RNA is filed under the name uncultured bacterium. RNAcentral describes it as "bacterial SSU rRNA". It matches the Rfam family "Bacterial small subunit ribosomal RNA", at positions 335 to 657 of the family's 1533-position model. The record is from RNAcentral.
UUUCCUACGGGAGGCAGCAGUGAGGGAUAUUGGUCAAUGGGGGAAACCCUGAACCAGCAACGCCGCGUGAGGGAAGACGGUUUUCGGAUUGUAAACCUCUGUCCUCUGUGAAGAUAAUGACGGUAGCAGAGGAGGAAGCUCCGGCUAACUACGUGCCAGCAGCCGCGGUAAUACGUAGGGAGCAAGCGUUGUCCGGAUUUACUGGGUGUAAAGGGUGCGUAGGCGGCCCUGCGAGUCAGAAGUGAAAUCCAUGGGCUUAACCCGUGAACUGCUUUUGAAACUGUAGGGCUUGGGUGAAGUAGAGG